UACGUAGGGGGCAAGCGUUGUCCGGAAUUAUUGGGCGUAAAGAGCGCGUAGGCGGUCCGAUAAGUCGGCUGUGAAAGUCCAGGGCUCAACCCUGGAAAGCCGGCCGAUACUGUCGGACUAGAGUCCGGAAGAGGCAAGUGGAAUUCCCGGUGUAGCGGUGAAAUGCGCAGAUAUCAGGAGGAACACCGGUGGCGAAGGCGGGUCUCUGGGCCGAUACUGACGCUGAGGAGCGAAAGCGUGGGGAGCGAACAGG
Molecule: ribosomal RNA, 253 nt
Filed under: uncultured bacterium
Lineage: Bacteria
Description: partial 16S ribosomal RNA
Rfam family: Bacterial small subunit ribosomal RNA
Source: RNAcentral